Molecule: ribosomal RNA, 440 nt
Filed under: uncultured bacterium
Lineage: Bacteria
Description: partial 16S ribosomal RNA
Rfam family: Bacterial small subunit ribosomal RNA
Source: RNAcentral
CCUACGGGAGGCAGCAGUAGGGAAUAUUGCUCAAUGGGGGAAACCCUGAUGCAGCAACGCCGCGUGGAGGAUGAAGGUUUUCGGAUUGUAAACCCCUUUUGUUAGAGAAGAUAAUGACGGUAUCUAACGAAUAAGCACCGGCUAACUCCGGGCCAGCAGCCGCGGUAAUACGAAGGGUGCAAGCGUUACUCGGAAUCACUGGGCGUAAAGAGCGCGUAGGCGGGAUAGCAAGUCAGAUGUGAAAUCCUAUGGCUUAACCAUAGAACUGCAUUUGAAACUGUUAUUCUAGAGUAUGGGAGAGGUAGGUGGAAUUCUUGGUGUAGGGGUAAAAUGCGUAGAGAUCAAGAGGAAUACUCAUUGCGAAGGCGACCUGCUAGAACAAAACUGACGCUGAUGCGCGAAAGCGUGGGGAGCAAACAGGAUUAGAUACCCUGGUAGUC